GUCCCCGUAGCUCAGCUGGAUAGAGCACUUCCCUCCUAAGGAAGGGGUCGGACGUUCGAAUCGUCUCGGGGACG
Geobacter pickeringii is the source of this 74-nucleotide transfer RNA. It matches the Rfam family "tRNA". From Rfam's summary of the family: Transfer RNA (tRNA) molecules are approximately 80 nucleotides in length. Their secondary structure includes four short double-helical elements and three loops (D, anti-codon, and T loops). The record is from Rfam. Lineage: Bacteria; Pseudomonadati; Thermodesulfobacteriota; Desulfuromonadia; Geobacterales; Geobacteraceae.